UUGAGCCCAGUGCGGUGAAAGUCGCACGCUGGGUUCUUAGGGGACGGUGGCGUAGCAAUGCGCCGCCGUUACCCGAC
This is a non-coding RNA of Chlorobium phaeobacteroides BS1, 77 nucleotides long. Lineage: Bacteria; Pseudomonadati; Chlorobiota; Chlorobiia; Chlorobiales; Chlorobiaceae. The record is from Rfam.